ACAGUGUUAGUUCAACGGUAGAACUCCCGCCUUCCAUGCAGAAGACCUGGGUUCCAUUUCCAGCCAAUGCG
RNAcentral lists this transfer RNA (71 nucleotides) under Loxodonta africana (African savanna elephant). It matches the Rfam family "tRNA". Rfam says of the family: Transfer RNA (tRNA) molecules are approximately 80 nucleotides in length. Lineage: Eukaryota; Metazoa; Chordata; Mammalia; Proboscidea; Elephantidae. The record is from Rfam by way of RNAcentral.